GGCCAGCAGCUGCGGUAUGACGGAGGGGGGUAGGGUUGUUCGGAAUUACUGGGCGUAAAGCGCACGUAGGCGGAUUAGUAAGUUAGGGGUGAAAUCCCGGGGCUCAACCCCGGAACUGCCUCUAAUACUGCUAGUCUUGAGUUCGAGAGAGGUGAGUGGAAUUCCGAGUGUAGAGGUGAAAUUCGUAGAUAUUCGGAGGAACACCAGUGGCGAAGGCGGCUCACUGGCUCGAUACUGACGCUGAGAUGCGAAAGCGUGGAGAGCAAACAGGAUUAGAUA
This 279-nucleotide ribosomal RNA is filed under the name uncultured bacterium. RNAcentral describes it as "partial 16S ribosomal RNA". It matches the Rfam family "Bacterial small subunit ribosomal RNA", at positions 506 to 784 of the family's 1533-position model. The record is from RNAcentral.